Molecule: ribosomal RNA, 482 nt
Filed under: uncultured bacterium
Lineage: Bacteria
Description: partial 16S ribosomal RNA
Rfam family: Bacterial small subunit ribosomal RNA
Source: RNAcentral
AAUCAACGCUGGCGGCGUGCCUAACACAUGCAAGUCGCACGAGAAAGGGGAGCAAUCCCUGAGUACAGCGGCGCACGGGUGAGUAACACGUGAAUUAUCUACCUCCGAGUGGGGAAUAACUGAGAGAAAUCUUAGCUAAUACCGCAUAACACUUACGAGUCAAAGCAGCAAUGCGCUUGGAGAGGAGUUCGCGGCAGAUUAGUUAGUUGGCGGGGUAAGGCCCACCAAGACGAUGAUCUGUAUCCGGCCUGAGAGGGCGCACGGACACACUGGAACUGAAACACGGUCCAGACUCCUACGGGAGGCAGCAGUGGGGAAUUUUGCGCAAUGGGGGAAACCCUGACGCAGCAACGCCGCGUGGAGGAUGAAAUCCCUCGGGAUGUAAACUUCGACAAGAACGGGAAGAAUAAGUAGAAAGUUAAUAUCUUUCAUGAUGACGGUACCGUUUGUAAGCUCCGGCUAACUACGUGCCAGCAGCCGCU